AAAAAAUUUGACGUUAUUAGUUCUGAGGACCUCUACAAUGUCGACAUGCAGCAUGUGAACGUAUAUCUAAGAUUUUAAGUAUAGAGAUAUGUAUAUAAAAAUUGAAUGUACAUAAAAACUUAUACGUGGAUAUUUACGUUCAUCGAAAAGAUGAU
RNAcentral lists this small RNA (155 nucleotides) under Arabidopsis thaliana (thale cress). RNAcentral describes it as "ATSL223100". Lineage: Eukaryota; Viridiplantae; Streptophyta; Magnoliopsida; Brassicales; Brassicaceae. The record is from RNAcentral.